RNAcentral lists this ribosomal RNA (467 nucleotides) under uncultured bacterium. Its description in RNAcentral is "partial 16S ribosomal RNA". It matches the Rfam family "Bacterial small subunit ribosomal RNA", at positions 29 to 507 of the family's 1533-position model. The record is from RNAcentral.
ACGAACGCUGGCGGCGUGCUUAACACAUGCAAGUCGAACGGAAAGGCCCUGCUUUUGUGGGGUGCUCGGGUGGCGAACGGGGGAGUAACACGUGAGUAACCUGCCCUUGACUUUGGGAUAACUUCAGGAAACUGGGGCUAAUACCGGCUAGGAGCUCCUGCUGCAUGGUGGGGGUUGGAAAGUUUCGGCGGUUGGGGAUGGACUCGCGGCUUAUCAGCUUGUUGGUGGGGUAGUGGCAUACCAAGGCUUUGACGGGUAGCCGGCCUGAGAGGGUGACCGGCCACAUUGGGACUGAGAUACGGCCCAGACUCCUACGGGAGGCAGCAGUGGGGAAUAUUGCACAAUGGGCGGAAGCCUGAUGCAGCAACGCCGCGUGCGGGAAGACGGCCUUCGGGUUGUAAACCGCUUUCGCCUGUGACGAAGCGUGAGUGACGGUAAUGGGUAAAGAAGCACCGGCUAACUACGUG